GUCUUUUGGUCGACUACAGUAACAGACGUCUCUUGAACUUUAACUGAUUUACUUAGGCAUGUACGAUUAGAUAUUUAGCUGUAUCAAACUCGACUUCUUCUUAAGAAAAGGAAUUUAUCAGAACUUGAUCAGUACGUAUAGUAAUUAUUGGUAAUAAAAUUUUCAGAGAAGGAGAUAUUAUAUUGAUAAUGAUUGUUAGAAAUUCAAUCAGAAGAACACACGAGACGAUGGGUUUCAAAAUAAACUUGUUAUUCAUACUUGUUGUCUCUAACAUGUUUAGCAUGGGAUACCUAUGUAAUUCAAAUUCAUAUGAGCCACCUAAAUAUUGUUUCAUUACUUAUGACUCUGGUCCUUGCCUCACGACCGAGAUGAUAACGAAUGGAACUUUCCUAUGGAGAUAUUACUAUUCGAAAUUAUUGGAAACGUGUUUUCCUUUCAAGUACGGAGGCUGCGGAGGAAAUGGUAAUCGUUUUUCAACUUAUGAAGUUUGCAUGAAUAUAUGUCACAUAUAAUACUCUAUAUACCUAAACAAUGAAGAAUAUUUUAAAUCCAUUUAAGAAUAUAAAAUUCUUUAAAACAAAUUUUUGAGGGUUUUAUAUAUUGAUAUGUAUUUGUAAUAGUUUUAUAUUGAGUUUAAAUAGAAGCACUAAAUGAAAGACUCUGUAAAGCCUUUAGAAAAUACUUCUAAAAGUGUUUUAUUUUUACAAUAAAUGACUGUAACAAAAUGAAAUGUACGGAUAUGUAUAUGAAAUAUGUAGGAAUAUAUGUGUAAAUACAGAAAA
Non-coding RNA from Linepithema humile (Argentine ant), 782 nucleotides. The record is from RefSeq and is a predicted model, not a curated record. NCBI's taxonomy places the organism in Eukaryota, Metazoa, Arthropoda, Insecta, Hymenoptera, Formicidae.